CCCUUAGAUGUUCUGGGCUGCACGCGCGCUACACUGAUGCGUUCAACGAGUUUUUAGCUUAUCUGAUAAGAUUGGCUAAUCUUCUGAAAACGCAUCGUGAUGGGGAUAGAUUAUUGUAAUUAUUAAUCUUCAACGAGGAAUUCCUAGUAGGUGUGAAUCAUCAGUUCACGCCGAUUACGUCCCUGCCCUUUGUACACACCGCCCGUCGCUCCUCCCGAUUGAGUGAUCCGGUGAAUAAUUCGGACCGGUGAGCUUCCAGGUUUACCUGGCUGCUUGCUGGAAAGUCUAGUGAACCUUAUCACUUAGAGGAAGGAGAAGUCGUAACA
Molecule: ribosomal RNA, 326 nt
Filed under: uncultured eukaryote
Lineage: Eukaryota
Description: partial 18S ribosomal RNA
Rfam family: Eukaryotic small subunit ribosomal RNA
Source: RNAcentral